RNAcentral lists this ribosomal RNA (406 nucleotides) under uncultured bacterium. Its description in RNAcentral is "partial 16S ribosomal RNA". It matches the Rfam family "Bacterial small subunit ribosomal RNA", at positions 30 to 526 of the family's 1533-position model. The record is from RNAcentral.
AUUGAACGCUGGCGGCAGGCCUAACACAUGCAAGUCGAACGAGCGGCGGACGGGUGAGUAAUGUCUGGGAAACUGCCCGAUGGAGGGGGAUAACUACUGGAAACGGUAGCUAAUACCGCAUACUAUCGGAUGUGCCCAGAUGGGAUUAGCUAGUAGGUGGGGUAACGGCUCACCUAGGCGACGAUCCCUAGCUGGUCUGAGAGGAUGACCAGCCACACGGGAACUGAGACACGGUCCAGACUCCUACGGGAGGCAGCAGUGGGGAAUAUUGCGCAAUGGGGGCAAGCCUGAUGCAGCCAUGCCGCGUGUAUGAAGAAGGCCUUCGGGUUGUAAAGUACUUUCGGCGGGGAGGCGUUACCCGCAGAAGAAGCACCGGCUAACUCCGUGCCAGCCGCCGCGGUAAUUC